Molecule: ribosomal RNA, 497 nt
Filed under: uncultured bacterium
Lineage: Bacteria
Description: partial 16S ribosomal RNA
Rfam family: Bacterial small subunit ribosomal RNA
Source: RNAcentral
GAUGAACGCUGGCGGCGUGCCUAAUACAUGCAAGUCGAGCGAACAGACGAGGAGCUUGCUCCUCUGACGUUAGCGGCGGACGGGUGAGUAACACGUGGAUAACCUACCUAUAAGACUGGGAUAACUUCGGGAAACCGGAGCUAAUACCGGAUAAUAUAUUGAACCGCAUGGUACAAUAGUGAAAGACGGUUUUGCUGUCACUUAUAGAUGGAUCCGCGCCGCAUUAGCUAGUUGGUAAGGUAACGGCUUACCAAGGCAACGAUGCGUAGCCGACCUGAGAGGAUGAUCAGCCACACUGGGACUGAGACACGGUCCAGACUCCUACGGGAGGCAGCAGUAGGGAAUCUUCCGCAAUGGGCGAAAGCCUGACGGAGCAACGCCGCGUGAGUGAUGAAGGUCUUCGGAUCGUAAAACUCUGUUAUUAGGGAAGAACAAAUGUGUAAGUAACUAUGCACGUCUUGACGGUACCUAAUCAGAAAGCCACGGCUAACUACGUG